ACAGCUUGGAUAACUCGGGGGAGAGAGAUGAAAAAUUAUCCAGGUCCAUCAGUUUUACUCGUGAAUUACUAAAUUGGGUUUCAGAAACAGAGUCACUUGAUGGGAAUUCAGCAAGGAGGCUUAGGGAAAGAGGAGCCCCAAAGAGAGAAACAGAUCAAAAAGAGUCCUUUACUAACUUCACCAAAGAGGUUAAGUAGAGUACCAUCAAAAUCACUGGACUUGAAUAAAAAUGAGUAUCUUUCUCUGGACAAAAGCAGCACUUCAGAUUCUUUUGAUGAAGAAAAUAUUCCUGAGAAAGAUCUUCAUGGAAGACUUUAUAUCAACCGUGUUUUUCAUAUCGGUGCUGAGAGAAUGUUUGAGUUGCUGUUCACCAGUUCACGCUUUAUGCAGAAGUUUGCCAAUUCUAGAAAUGUAAUAUAGUAUCUACCCCUUGGACUGCAGAAACUGGAGGUGAUCAACUGAGAACCAUGACCUACACUAUAGUCCUUAAUAAUCCACUUUCCGGGAAAUGCACCACCGCUACGGAAAAGCAGACACUGAAUAAAGAAAGUCGGGAAGCACGGUUUUAUUUGGUAGAUUCAGAAGUAACGACACAUGAUGUCCCCUACCAUGGUUACUUCUAUACCCUGAAUAGAUACUGUAUCAUCCGAUCUGCAAGACACAAAUGCGGUCUAAGAGUUUCCACAGAUUUGAAAUACAGAAAACAACCAUGGGGCCUCGUCAGAUCUUUAAUUGAGAAGAAUACCUGGAGCUCAUUGGAAGACUAUUUCAAACAGCUUGAAUCAGAUUUGUUAGUAGAAGAAUCUAUAUUAAAUCAGUCCACUGAAGACCCUGGAAAACUUAGCAGCCUACGAAGGAGAAGGCGACCAUUCAACCGAACGGAAACAGUAGCUAAACUUUCUUCUCAGUGUUCCCCUGAAGAUGUGGGCUUAGAGACCAAAAUGGGGAUUACAGGAAAGAAAAAGGAAGUGGAAAGCUGUAGUACUGUUAUUGUGGUGAUGAGUAUUUUUGUGCUGGUGCUGGUUUUGUUGAAUGUGAUGCUGUUCCUGAAGCUGUCAAAGAUAGAGUAUGCUGCUCAGUCCUUUUACCGCCUCCACCUCCAAGAAGAGAAGUCUUUACAUUUAGCUUCUGCUAUGGUGUCCAGAGCCGAAAAUAUUCCAAAAAACAAAGAUCAGACCCAUCGUUUAAAAGGAGUGCUCCGAGACUCCAUAGUCAUGCUUGAACAGCCGAAGAGCUCACUUAUUAUGCUUCAGAAAACUUUUGAUCUACUAAAUAAGAAUAAGACUGGCAUGGCUGUUGAAAGCUAGUGGAUUUUAAGGACUGAAACUGUAGAGAUACUUGCAACUAAAAGAAAACAACUGGAAGAAAACCAGUGGAUGAAGGAUUUUGUCAUAGGAAUAUUUCUGUUUUCUCAUUAAGA
RNA transcript from Nycticebus coucang (slow loris), 1420 nucleotides. It is a transcript of the gene named protein Aster-C-like, with no coding region annotated. Lineage: Eukaryota; Metazoa; Chordata; Mammalia; Primates; Lorisidae. The record is from RefSeq and is a predicted model, not a curated record. The transcript has a single exon.